This 4344-nucleotide long non-coding RNA is filed under the name Sus scrofa (pig). Its description in RNAcentral is "lncRNA (ENSSSCG00025055693.1)". The record is from RNAcentral. Lineage: Eukaryota; Metazoa; Chordata; Mammalia; Artiodactyla; Suidae.
AAUUGUUUGUAUAUUCUGCAAAUUAAUCUCUUGUCAGUAACAUCAUUUGCAAAUAUUUUCUCUCAGUCUGUAGGCUUUUUAUUUAUGAUUUCCUUUGUUAUGCAACAUCUUUUGUUUACUCAAGUCCCAUUUAUUUUUGUUUUUAUUUCCAUACUGUAGCAGACAGAUCCAAAAAAAUACUGUUGAAAACAUGUAACAUGAUCUGUGUGGCCAGAGUAUUAGCAAUGAACACCCACACGGCCUAAGAUGUGGUUGCUAAAUACCAUUUCCAAACAAAAAUAACCAGGGCUCCUGGGAGAAAUGCCUUGAUUCCAGGUUUGGGACUAGAAAUAUGAGCCUGGAAAUCUUAUGCCAGAAAGCAAAACAGCUGGUAAGAUUAUUAAAAGAACUCAGGGAAUUCCUGCUGUGGCACAACGGGAUCUACUGCGUCUCUGGAGUGUUGGGAAGCAGUUUUGAUCUCUGGUCUGGCACUGUGGGUUAAGGAUCUGGUGUUGCCACAGCUGCAGCAUAGGUCGUAACUGUGGCCUGGAUUUGAUCCCUAGCCCAGGAAUUCCACAUGUCUUGGGAUGGCCAAAAGAGGAAAAAAAAAAAAAAAAAAGGAAAAACCAAAAAACCUCAGGAACUAACUUGAGUUGACUCCCACUGACUAAAGAUAAAACAAGGCAACAACAAAAACUGAAUCAUAAGCUGAUAAAAAGCCUCCAGAAUAACGACUCUGAAAUUUUAGCAUGCCCCAGACUCACCUGGAAGCAUUAAAAAUGAAACCUCUAUAGCUGGGCUCCACCUACAGAGUUUCUGAUUCAGAGAGUCUGGGGUGGGUAUUAUUGAGAAAUUUUUCUUUUUCCAUCUUUGUAGGGCUGCACCAGUGGCAUAUGGAAGUUCUCAGGCUAGGGGCUGAAUCAGAGCUGUAGGUGCUGGCCUACACCACAGCUCAUGGCAAUGCUGGAUUCUUAACACACUGAGUGUGGACAGGGAUGGAACCCACAUCCUCAUGGAUACAAGUCAGGUUCGUAACCUGCUGAGCUACAAUGAGAAUUCCGAUAAACUUCAUUUCUAACAAGUUCCCAGAUGAUGCCGAUAAUUCUGAUCCAGGAGCCACACCUCGAGAACCACUACUCUAGGUUUAUUAAUUCACAGGGAACACAGGGGGCAGAAUAUGCUAAAUGAUGUCAUGAGGGUGCUAUCAGCAAAAUCAAAACUAGGAAACUGAAUAGUGACCUUCAACAAAUACACUGCAAGGAUAAGACAAACAAAAAAACACAACACCUGGAAGAUCCUAUAGAGGAACAGGACUUAAGGAGUCUUUUUAGAGGUAUAUACUGAACUAUCUUUAAUAGAAAUGUCUAGGAUUUCCUCCAAAAUUAUUUAGAAUAAGUGUAGGCAUAUAUUGUUAAAGUUGUCUGAGUACAGAGGACACUCAUCACACUAUUUUCAAGACCAGCGUUUUGUACUUUUCCUGAAAAUGCAAACAUAUUUAAAUAUAUUUCAUAUAUACAUAUAUAUAAAAAUAUAGAAUAUAUUUAAAAGUUCCUGUUGUGGCUCAGCAGGUUUGGGGACCCGAGGUGGUCUCUGCGAGAAUGCAGAUUCAGAUCCCUGGCCUUGCUCAGUAGGUUAAGGAUCUGGCGUUGCUGUGAGCUGUGGUGUAGGUUGCAGAUGUGGCUUAGAUGUGAUGUUGCUUGUGGCUGUGGUGCAGGCCGGCAGCUGCAGCUCCGAUUCAUCCCCUAGCCUGGAAACUUCCAUAUGCCGCCCAUGUGGCCCUAAGAAGGGGGGAAAAAAGAAAAAUAGUACACUCAAGGCUAUUCAGGAAUGACUGGCAAGGAGUAGUGACACUCUAACAUUUGGGCCCUUCAUUUAGCAACUCAACUUUGCUUUUCUCUCAACUGGCUAGAACAUUAGGGUUUUUUAACUAUUCCAAUUACAGAAAGUUUUAUAAAAAAGGCAGCUAUUAUUUCGUAAGUGACUGUGCCAAGUGCUUUGAUAAUUAUAGACGUUUACUCCCCAUAAUAUCAGAAGAUACUUUUUUUUGUCUUUUCUAGGGCUGCACCCGCAGCAUAUGGAAGUUCCCAGGCUAGGGGUCCAAUUGGAGCUGUAGCCGCCGGCCUACGCCACAGCACAGCAACACCAGAUCCAAGCCACGUCGGUCACUUACACCACAGCUCACGGCAAUGCUGGAUCCUUAACCCGCUGAGUGAGGCCAGGUGUUGAACCCACAACCUCAUGGAAAAAUAAACCAGUCUACCCUCUACAGAAAACACUUCCUUACAGUAGAAUGCCCAUGAAAAGAACUUAGGAAAAAAAAAAACAGUUAAUAGUGGGUGACAGUUUGAUAGGAACUAGAUACUUAAUAGGCUCUACUUAUCCUUCACAAAUUGACUGUGAAGGGAAAAAGCGACUUUGUAAGUCAUUCAAAUUAUUAUUACCAUGUGCCACUAGAUAAGAUGCAUCAAGGACAGAGUCACAUUCUUGAUAUUUCUGCCAAAAAUGCAAUCCUAAGGAGACAUCAGACAAACCCAAACUGAAAUGUUAAAAAAACAAGUCCUUUACUCUUCAAAAAUGACAAGGUCAAGAAAGGCUGAGGACCUGUUUCAGUUUAUUUCUGGUUGUGUCUGGGGCAUGUCGAAGUUCCUGGGCUGGGGACCGAACCUGAGACACUAGCAGCAACACAAGCCAUCAUGGUGAUGUCAGAUCCUUCAUCAGCUGUGCCAUAACAGAACUCUGUACCUGUUCCAAUUUAUUUAUAUUUUUAUUUAUUUUUUGCUUUUUAGGGCUCCACCCGAGGCAUAUAGAGGUUCCCAGGCUAGGGGAUGAAUUGGAGCUACACCUGCCCGCCUAUGCCACAGCCAUAGCAAUGCAGGGUUCGAGCCAGAUCUGCGACCUACAUCACAGCUCACAGCAACACCAGAUCCUUAACCUACUGAGUGAGGGCAGGGGUUGAACCCACAGCCUCAUGGUUUCUAGUCAGAUUCGUUUCCACUGUGCCACGACAGGAACUCCUGGGCCUGUUCCAGUUUAAAGGAGACUAAAAAUCCUUGACAAUAAAAUGUUGCAAAGGAUUGUGGCCAAUGGAAAAAAAAAUGAAAGACAUUAUUGGACAAGUGACAAAUAUAAAUAUGGACUGUGAAUGAGACAAGAUAACAUCAAAGCUAAUUUCCUGGUUUUGAUAUGUAGACAUUAUAGUUAUGAGAAUGUCUCUGGAGAUACACUUUUUAGAGAUAAAACAGAAAGAUGUCACUAACCUACCUUUUAGACAGUUCAGGAAAAUAUAGUGUAAAUGCAACAAAAUAUUGGUGAUUAACAAAAGGUUUACACUUCCGUCUAUAUUGCAAGUUUUUCCUAAGUCUGACACUUUACUGUUAAGUUCCUUGGUAAUGACCUCAAAGAUGAGUGCAAACAUCACGUUAAUAGUAAAUAGUCCAACUACAAAUAAGAGCUUUAGUGUAAGGUAUACUUAGUAUCACUUGACUUUGUAAAAUUCAGAUGAACCAUGACCAAACUACUCGGAAGUACGUUUUCUAGGUUUGCAUCUCUAGGAUGCCUAAUAAACUAGCAAUCCUGGCUUCCUCCAAGUGGUCAGGAAUUGAAUUCACUGCUUAUUGCCCUUUUGAAUCUACCUUGGAUUUUUGAACUUUGAUUUCUAUUCAAAGUGUAAAAAGUUAACCACUUUAGGAAGUCCCUGCUGUGGCACAGCGGUAACGAAUCUGACUAGAAUCAUGAGUAUGCGUCUUUGAUCCCUGGCCUCGCUCAGUGUAUUAAGGAUCCAGCAUUGCCAUGAGCUUGUGACACAGGCUGCAGAUGUGGCCUGGAUUCCACAUGGCUGUGGCAUAGGCUGGGAACUACAGCUCUGAUGCAACCCUUUCUCAUACAUACAAUCCGUCCCAGUCCAUCAUUUAAAGUAGGAUCUUUGUGCUAGUCUAUUUUAAAUAAAAGCAAGUUGCAGGACACAAUUCCUGAUAUUUACUAGCUUAUUGAAAGGCACAUGCGUUAAUGACUGAAAAUCUGGGCAGACACAGUAUUAUCAGCAGCUACUUCAGCAAUCGGACUCCACAGUUGUGUGUGUCUCCACAGUUGGAUUUUUUAAAAAAAUGGCUAUACCUGUGGUGUAUCGAAGUCCCCAGGCUAGUGGCUGAAUUGGAGCUGCAGCUGCUGGCCUAUGCCACAACCAUAUCAACACUGGAUCUCAGCUGCAUCUGCAACAUACAGCAUACAGCAUACAGCAAUGCUGGAUUCUUAACCCACUUGAACGAGGCCAGAGAUUGGACUAGCAACCUCAUGGACACUGUCAGGUUAAGCCACCGAGCCACAGUGGGAACGCCUGGAGAGGUCCUUUAGAACCAAGUACAUAUU